CCCUGCCAUUUGUACACACCGCCCGUCGCACCUACCGAUUGAAUGGUCCGGUGAAGCCUCGGGAUUGUGGUGAGUUUCCUUUAUUGGAAGUUCGCCGCGAGAACUUGUCUAAACCUUAUCAUUUAGAG
This 128-nucleotide ribosomal RNA is filed under the name uncultured eukaryote. Its description in RNAcentral is "partial small subunit ribosomal RNA". It matches the Rfam family "Eukaryotic small subunit ribosomal RNA", at positions 1651 to 1778 of the family's 1831-position model. The record is from RNAcentral.